CCUACGGGAGGCAGCAGUGAGGAAUAUUGGUCAAUGGGAGAGAUCCUGAACCAGCCAAGCCGCGUGAGGGAAGACGGCCCUAUGGGUUGUAAACCUCUUUUGUCGGAGAACAAAACCCGGGACGUGUCCCGGACUGCGUGUAUCCGACGAAAAAGCAUCGGCUAACUCCGUGCCAGCAGCCGCGGUAAUACGGAGGAUGCGAGCGUUAUCCGGAUUUAUUGGGUUUAAAGGGUGCGUAGGCGGUCCGUUAAGUCAGCGGUAAAAUUGCGGGGCUCAACCCCGUCGAGCCGUUGAAACUGGCAGACUGGAGUGGGCGAGAAGUACGCGGAAUGCGCGGUGUAGCGGUGAAAUGCAUAGAUAUCGCGCAGAACUCCGAUUGCGAAGGCAGCGUACCGGCGCCAGACUGACGCCGAGGCACGAAAGCGUGGGGAUCGAACAGGAUUAGAUACCCUUGUAGUC
RNAcentral lists this ribosomal RNA (459 nucleotides) under uncultured bacterium. RNAcentral describes it as "partial 16S ribosomal RNA". It matches the Rfam family "Bacterial small subunit ribosomal RNA", at positions 338 to 795 of the family's 1533-position model. The record is from RNAcentral.